AGUGAACGCUGGCGGUAGGCCUAACACAUGCAAGUCGAACGGCAGCACAGUAAGAGCUUGCUCUUACGGGUGGCGAGUGGCGGACGGGUGAGGAAUACAUCGGAAUCUACUUUUUCGUGGGGGAUAACGUAGGGAAACUUACGCUAAUACCGCAUACGACCUACGGGUGAAAGCAGGGGAUCUUCGGACCUUGCGCGAUUGAAUGAGCCGAUGUCGGAUUAGCUAGUUGGCGGGGUAAAGGCCCACCAAGGCGACGAUCCGUAGCUGGUCUGAGAGGAUGAUCAGCCACACUGGACCUGAGACACGGUCCAGACUCCUACGGGAGGCAGCAGUGGGGAAUAUUGGACAAUGGGCGCAAGCCUGAUCCAGCCAUCCCGCGUGGGUGAAGAAGGCCUUCGGGUUGUAAAGCCCUUUUGUUGGGAAAGAAAAGCAGCAGGUUAAUACCCCGCUGUUCUGACGGUACCCAAAGAAUAAGCACCGGCUAACUUCGUG
RNAcentral lists this ribosomal RNA (492 nucleotides) under uncultured bacterium. RNAcentral describes it as "partial 16S ribosomal RNA". It matches the Rfam family "Bacterial small subunit ribosomal RNA", at positions 29 to 507 of the family's 1533-position model. The record is from RNAcentral.